This 460-nucleotide ribosomal RNA is filed under the name uncultured bacterium. RNAcentral's name for it is "partial 16S ribosomal RNA". It matches the Rfam family "Bacterial small subunit ribosomal RNA", at positions 338 to 795 of the family's 1533-position model. The record is from RNAcentral.
CCUACGGGUGGCAGCAGUGAGGAAUAUUGGUCAAUGGACGCAAGCCUGAACCAGCCAUGCCGCGUGCAGGAAGACGGCCCUAUGAGUUGUAAACCGCUUUUGUACGGGGGUAAACGCAGAUACGCGUAUCUGGCUGAAAGUAACGUACGUAUAAGGCAAGGCUAACUCCGGUCCAGCAGCCGCGGGAAUAAGGAGGAUUCAAGCGUUAUUCGGUUUUGUUGGGUUUAAAGGGUGCGUAGGCGGUCGGUUAAGUUAGAGGUGAAAUCCCGAGGCUCAACUUCGGAAUUGCCUGUGAUACUGUUCGGCUAGAGAGUAGUUGCGGUAGGCGGAAUGUAUGGUGUAGCGGUGAAAUGCUUAGAGAUCAGACAGAACACCGAUUGCGAAGGCAGCUUACCAGGCUACUUCUGACGUUGAGGCACGAAAGCGUGGGGAGCAAACAGGAUUAGAUACCCCUGUAGUC